This 143-nucleotide unclassified non-coding RNA is filed under the name uncultured Ascomycota. RNAcentral's name for it is "sequence contains ITS2". Lineage: Eukaryota; Fungi; Ascomycota. The record is from RNAcentral.
CACCAAUCAAGCCUGGCUUGGUAUUAGGCGAGGAGGUCAAACUCCCGCCCCUAAGUCCUCGGCUGGACGGUUCGAUUCUCAGCGUUGUGGUUUAUUCAAUUCGCUGCGGAGACGACCGGUCGCGCCGUUAAACAUUUACUUCA